This 767-nucleotide ribosomal RNA is filed under the name uncultured bacterium. RNAcentral's name for it is "bacterial SSU rRNA". It matches the Rfam family "Bacterial small subunit ribosomal RNA", at positions 726 to 1502 of the family's 1533-position model. The record is from RNAcentral.
UGACGGGAGCGCAACUGACGCUCAUGCUCGAAAGUGCGGGUAUCGAACAGGAUUAGAUACCCUGGUAGUCCGCACGGUAAACGAUGGAUGCCCGCUAUUUGCCCUUUUUGGGGUAAGUGGCCAAGCGAAAGCGUUAAGCAUCCCACCUGGGGAGUACGCCGGCAACGGUGAAACUCAAAGGAAUUGACGGGGGCCCGCACAAGCGGAGGAACAUGUGGUUUAAUUCGAUGAUACGCGAGGAACCUUACCCGGGUUUGAAUUGCAGGAGAACGAUCCAGAGAUGGUGAGGCCCUUCGGGGCUCCUGUGAAGGUGCUGCAUGGUUGUCGUCAGCUCGUGCCGUGAGGUGUCGGCUUAAGUGCCAUAACGAGCGCAACCCCUUUCUCCAGUUGCCAUCAGGCUUAGGCUGGGCACCCUGGAGACACUGCCACCGUAAGGUGCGAGGAAGGUGGGGAUGACGUCAAAUCAGCACGGCCCUUACGUCCGGGGCUACACACGUGUUACAAUGGGUGGCACAGAGAGCCGGCGGCCCGCAAGGUCCGCCCAAUCAUAAAAUCCACCCUCAGUUCGGACUGGGGUCUGCAACCCGACCCCACGAAGCUGGAUUCGCUAGUAAUCGCGCAUCAGCCAUGGCGCGGUGAAUACGUUCCCGGGCCUUGUACACACCGCCCGUCAAGCCAUGAAAGCCGGGGGUGCCUGAAGUCCGUGACCGCGAGGAUCGGCCUAGGGCAAAACUGGUGAUUGGGGCUAAGUCGUAACAAGGUAACCA